UUCGAUCAUGGCUCAGAUUGAACGCUGGCGGGAUGCUACAUGCAAGUCGAACGGCAGCACGGACUUCGGUCUGGUGGCGAAGAGCCGAACGGGUGAGGUAUCGGAACGUGCCUAGUAGCGGGGGAUAACUACGCGAAAGCGUAGCUGGCCUGCAUACGCCCUUCGGGGAAAGCCGGGGACAACUUCGGGCCUCGCACUAUUGACGGCCGAUAUCGGAUUAGCUAGUUGGUGGGGUAACGGCUCACCAAGGCGACGAUCCGUAGCUGGUUUGAGAGAGGACGACCAGCCACACUGGGACUGAGACACGGCCCAGACUCCUACGAGAGGCAGCAGUGGGGAAUUUUGGACAAUGGGGAAACCUGAUCCAGCCAUCCCGCGUGUGCGAUGAAGGCCUUCGGGUUGUAAAGCACUUUUGGCAGGAAAGAAACGGCGGGAUAUUACCCCGUGCAACUGACGGUACCGCAGAAUAAGCACCGGCUAACUACGUGCCAGCAGCCGCGGUAAUACGUAGGGUGCAAGCGUUAAUCAGAUUACUGGGCGUAAAGCGUGCGCAGGCAGUUCGGAAGAAAAGAUGUGAAAUCCCAGAGCUUAACUUUGGAACUGCAUUUUAACUACCGAGCUAGAGUGUGUCCAGAGGGAGGCGGAAUUCCGCGUGUAGCAGUGAAAUGUAAUGCGUAGAUAUGCGGAGGAACACCGAUGCUUGAAGGCAACCUCCUGAGAUAAACACUGACUCAUGCACGAAAGCGUGGGAGGCGACAGGAUUAGAUACCCUGGUAGUCCACGCCCUAAACGAUGUCAACUAGCUGUUGGGGCCUUCGGGCCUUGGUAGCGCAACUAACGCGUGAAGUUGACCGCACCGGAGUACGGUCGCAAGAUUAAAACUCAAAGGAAUUGACGGGGACCCGCACAAGCGGUGGAUGAUGUGGAUUAAUUCGAUGCAACGCGAAAAACCUUACCUACCAUGACAUGUCUGGAAUCCCGAAGAGAUUUGGGAAUUACUCGCAAGAGAACCGGAACACAGGUGCUGCAUGGCUGUCGUCAGCUCGUGUCGUGAGAUGUUGGGUUAAGUCCCGCAACGAGCGCAACCCUUGUCAUUAGUUGCUACGAAGGGCACUCUAAUGAGACUGCCGGUGAUAAACCGGAGGAAGGUGGGGAUGACGUCAAGUCCUCAUGGCCCUUAUGGGUAGGGCUUCACACGUCAUACAAUGGUCGGGACAGAGGGUCGCCAACCCGCGAGAGGCCAAUCCAGAAACCCGAUCGUAGUCCGGAUCGCAGUCUGCAACUCGACUGCGUGAAGUCGGAAUCGCUAGUAAUCGCGGAUCAGCAUGUCGCGGUGAAUACGUUCCCGGGUCUUGUACACACCGCCCGUCACACCAUGGGAGUAGGUUUUACCAGAAGUAGUUAGCCUAACCGUAAGGAGGGCGAUUACCACGGUAGGAUUCAUGACUGGGAACGAAGUCGUAACAAGGUAG
This 1472-nucleotide ribosomal RNA is filed under the name uncultured Bordetella sp. RNAcentral's name for it is "partial 16S-23S ribosomal RNA intergenic spacer". It matches the Rfam family "Bacterial small subunit ribosomal RNA". The record is from RNAcentral. Lineage: Bacteria; Pseudomonadati; Pseudomonadota; Betaproteobacteria; Burkholderiales; Alcaligenaceae.